AUCGCUGUGAAGAUGCAGUGUACCCGCGGCUAGACGGAAAGACCCCGUGAACCUUUACUAUAGUUUUGCACUGGACUUUGAUGAUGACUGUGUAGGAUAGGUGGGAGGCUGUGAAGUGAGGACGCUAGUUCUCAUGGAGCCGCCCUUGAAAUACCACCCUGUUGUUAUUGAGGUUCUAACUUGGUCCAGUAAUCCUGGAUGAGGACAGUGUAUGAUGGGUAGUUUGACUGGGGCGGUCUCCUCCCAAAGAGUAACGGAGGAGCACAAAGGUACCCUCGGUACGGUCGGACAUCGUACCAAGAGUGUAAAGGCAAAAGGGUGCUUGACUGCGAGAGUGACGGCUCGAGCAGGAACGAAAGUUGGUCUUAGUGAUCCGGUGGUUCUGAAUGGAAGGGCCAUCGCUCAACGGAUAAAAGGUACUCCGGGGAUAACAGGCUGAUACCGCCCAAGAGUUCAUAUCGACGGCGGUGUUUGGCACCUCGAUGUCGGCUCAUCACAUCCUGGGGCUGAAGCAGGUCCCAAGGGUAUGGCUGUUCGCCAUUUAAAGUGGUACGCGAGCUGGGUUUAGAACGUCGUGAGACAGUUCGGUCCCUAUCUGCCGUGGGCGUAGGAAAAUUGAGAGGAGCUGCUCCUAGUACGAGAGGACCGGAGUGGACGAACCUCUGGUGCACCGGUUGUCACGCCAGUGGCAUGGCCGGGUAGCUAAGUUCGGACGGGAUAACCGCUGAAAGCAUCUAAGCGGGAAGCCUCCCUCAAGAUGAGUUUUCCCAUGAAGCCCGUUGAAGACUACGACGUUGAUAGGCAAGGUGUGGAAGCGCAGUAAUGCGUGAAGCUAACUUGUACUAAUUGGCUGAUUGUCUUGACCAUAUAAUCUGAG
Molecule: ribosomal RNA, 877 nt
Filed under: Legionella pneumophila subsp. pneumophila
Lineage: Bacteria; Pseudomonadati; Pseudomonadota; Gammaproteobacteria; Legionellales; Legionellaceae
Description: partial 23S ribosomal RNA
Rfam family: Bacterial large subunit ribosomal RNA
Source: RNAcentral